Equus quagga is the source of this 441-nucleotide non-coding RNA. NCBI's taxonomy places the organism in Eukaryota, Metazoa, Chordata, Mammalia, Perissodactyla, Equidae. The record is from the annotation of a RefSeq genome assembly.
CUGAGCUCUGGGCCCAUGAUCCUAGUUUGUCCUUGAAGUAUGAGGCUGAUGACUGGAAUAACUGCGUUUCUGACCUUGGGGACUGUGAUUGAUGCUCAGAUCACCCAGCCCAAUUCCGUGGAUUGUGCUGAAGGAGAAGAUGUAAACUUGCCUUGUAACCACUCUACCAUCGUUAGAGAAGAGUAUGUAUAUUGGUAUCGGCAAAAUCCCAACCAGAGUCCACAGUUUAUAAUUUGUGGAUUACGAAACAAUGUGACCAACAAUAUGGCCUCUCUGACCAUCGCAACAGACAGAAAGUCCAGUAUCUUGAUCCUGCCCCAGGUCACCCUGAGAGACACCGCUGUGUACUACUGCGCUGUGAGAGAGGCACAUUGGGACAGAUGGGGCUGCACCUGUGCAAUAUCUCUCUGGGGUGUGGAAGUUGGGGGGGAGGAGGGGUGA